Molecule: ribosomal RNA, 402 nt
Filed under: uncultured bacterium
Lineage: Bacteria
Description: bacterial SSU rRNA
Rfam family: Bacterial small subunit ribosomal RNA
Source: RNAcentral
UGGGGAAUCUUGGACAAUGGGCGAAAGCCUGAUCCAGCCAUGCCGCGUGAGUGAUGAAGGCCUUAGGGUUGUAAAGCUCUUUCGCCAGGGAAGAUAAUGACGGUACCUGGAUAAGAAGCCCCGGCUAACUUCGUGCCAGCAGCCGCGGUAAUACGAAGGGGGCUAGCGUUGUUCGGAAUUACUGGGCGUAAAGCGCACGUAGGCGGCUUUCCAAGUUGGAGGUGAAAUCCCCGGGCUUAACCCGGGAACUGCCUCCAAAACUGAAAGGCUAGAGUCCGAGAGAGGUGAGUGGAAUUUCCAGUGUAGAGGUGAAAUUCGUAGAUAUUGGAAAGAACACCAGUGGCGAAGGCGGCUCACUGGCUCGGUACUGACGCUGAGGUGCGACAGCGUGGGGAGCAAACA